GAUGAACGCUGGCGGCGUGCCUAAUACAUGCCAGUCGAGCGAACAGACGAGGAGCUUGCUCCUCUGACGUUAGCGGCGGACGGGUGAGUAACACGUGGAUAACCUACCUAUAAGACUGGGAUAACUUCGGGAAACCGGAGCUAAUACCGGAUAAUAUAUUGAACCGCAUGGUUCAAUAGUGAAAGACGGUUUUGCUGUCACUUAUAGAUGGAUCCGCGCCGCAUUAGCUAGUUGGCAAGGUAACGGCUUACCAAGGCAACGAUGCGUAGCCGACCUGAGAGGGUGAUCGGCCACACUGGAACUGAGACACGGUCCAGACUCCUACGGGAGGCAGCAGUAGGGAAUCUUCCGCAAUGGGCGAAAGCCUGAUGGAGCAACGCCGCGUGAGUGAUGAAGGUCUUCGGAUCGUAAAACUCUGUUAUUAGGGAAGAACAAAUGUGUAAGUAACUAUGCACGUCUUGACGGUACCUAAUCAGAAAGCCACGGCUAACUACGUG
This 497-nucleotide ribosomal RNA is filed under the name uncultured bacterium. Its description in RNAcentral is "partial 16S ribosomal RNA". It matches the Rfam family "Bacterial small subunit ribosomal RNA", at positions 28 to 507 of the family's 1533-position model. The record is from RNAcentral.